This 419-nucleotide unclassified non-coding RNA is filed under the name Athalia rosae (coleseed sawfly). RNAcentral describes it as "misc RNA ENSAEAG00005009043.1". The record is from RNAcentral. Lineage: Eukaryota; Metazoa; Arthropoda; Insecta; Hymenoptera; Athaliidae.
CGAUUGCUUAUCGUCUUAAUAAUUAUUAUCGCAUCAAUAUGAUUAUUAAUAUAUAAUGUUCUAGUCGUCGAGCGUACUACUUUUACGUUCACGUUUGUUACGGCGUCGGAUGGUGAUCUUGACAUAAUUACUCCCAAGGUUUACCCAUAAUGACACUGAUUCCUCAGAUAAUAUAGACGAUAUUCCAUUUUUAGUCCAGCAGUUCGCAUGUGAAGUGGUGAUACAAAAAAGGAAAAAAAAAAAAAAAACCAGGAUGAAGACUUGGAGGAUUUUUGUAAUCAGCAGCAUUUUUAUAACAGGAUACUGUCAAGAUGUGAAUUUGACUUUUCCCGAACAUUUGAAACUAGGGGUUGCUACCGCGUCUUAUCAGACGGAAGGUGCUUGGAAUGCAAACGGUAUUAUCAAAACCUCCCAUCAAU